GCCAGAAUGAAGGGAAUCUGUAUUACAGGAUGUUUUAUUAAUACUUAAUGGAAAGAGCCAAAAACCUUUUGCCACUUGGCAGUUGUGAAAUAAGCCUUUUUAGCCAAUGAUAAGAACAGGAUGCUAUGUAAAUUAACACUUUGCACAGAAUUAAUGUAAGAUUUUCAAUCAUAGAACUGGCUCAGUGAGCACAAUGCAUUGGUUGGCACUAGUUAAAUGGUGUUUUAUGCCAUUUUUUAAAUUAAAAAAAAACAGAAUUACAGGAAAGACAGAGUAGAUAAUAAAUGUUAUUGCAAGUUCUCUACACAGAUGUAAGGCCACUCUUACAGUUUGUCCAUCAAGAAUACUUAUCAAACACCCACUGGAUACUAAAUUUGAGCUGUGUGGAAGCCAUAGUUUCUACAGUUUCAUAAUGAACAUACAAAUUUGGGAAUGGCAAAGUCAUGUUGAUUGUGAUUCUAUACUGAAGGAUGUGAUGGUAUUAUUGGCCUUUGAGCUUUCUAUCAGACAAAGAAAAAUUUUUAAAAACUACAAAUAUUCACUCAGUUCCUACCAUAGGCACAGGCCUUACUAUGUACAGUGAGACAUACAAAGUUGAAUAAGAUCCAACUGCUAUUGUCAUAAGUGUCAUAAUCUAGUGCAGGAGACAGGGACAUACAUCAAUAACCCUUUUAUGAAGCUCAUAAAAAUCAAAUAUCAUAAUAGAAAUAAAAAACAUCAUUCUUUGGGGAUAUUUGAAACAGAGUGAUUCAUUCCAACAGGGAUAUAGUGAACAGAGAAGGCUCAUUAAAGAAAGUGGAAUCUGAAUGAGAGCCUUAAAAAGUAGGUAGUGCUUUGGAACAAUGUCUCCGUUCUAAGAAUAUCCAAACAGAAUGAGCAAACUAAGCAGGCUCUAGGAAUGGGAAACUAUGGGAAUAUUCCGGGAAGAAGGAACUGAAUGCUCUGUGAGAUCCUUUUGUUUAUUUUCCACAUCUUGCUGGCACAUUGUAAAAGCUCAAGAAAUGAGCACACUCAGGGCCUUUCGAGUUUGACUAAUUUCCAUGGCAAGAGCUCUGAGGAGUCAAGAGGCAGCAUGUCCUCUGGGAAGCCAGUGGAGUUCUCUUCAAGGAUGCUCAGUGAAAGACGAAAUAAAAAUAUGUGCAGUGCAUUGAAACUCACCAGGACCUUGCCAAACCAGAUCCAGCAACUUUCCACUUGAUUCUUGGAACUUAGAUUAUAUUGGGCUUUGGGGGCUUUCUGUUUCUUUGCCUAGAUUUCUUU
This 1260-nucleotide long non-coding RNA is filed under the name Vulpes vulpes (red fox). RNAcentral describes it as "lncRNA (ENSVVUG00000014192.1)". Lineage: Eukaryota; Metazoa; Chordata; Mammalia; Carnivora; Canidae. The record is from RNAcentral.